ACGUUCUAUUUGGUCGGCUACAAACAAACGGGUCGCCGCCGCUGCCCAAACCGUGUAGACGGCAGGCAACAGCCACCGUCCUGGUCUUAGCGCCCCCGCCACCGGCAGCGGAGGACGGCGAGUCCACGAGCAGCAAGCGACUCACCGAGGAAGAUGGGAGGAGGAUUUCGUCUUCACCAUCGGCGUCGCAUAGGUCUCCUUGGAUCAACCGUAUAGGCUGUUCACCUGAGCGCCCGCCGUCUUCGCGUUUAUCUCGUCGUCAGGCACCGUUCCUCCGGUCUACUCGUCCUCCCUUGUUCAAGCAAAUUGCAUUGCUUUACCGACUUGGCUUGCUGCCUCAAACUGUGAAUCACUCUACCCAUCUCUCCUAGGCUCCUGCCCACGCGUGUUAGUCACUCAGUCCCCCAUCAGAUAUGGGCAGCAAAAGAUCCUCCAGGAAGGUCCCACCUGCUGCAAUGCUGCCCAAGGAACGGUUAAGGCAUUUCUUCGCAUCUGAUAGAGAAUCCAAAGAAUAUUCUAAGCUGCUGGACUACUUCAUAGGGGAAGAUUCUUUGAUUGAGGUUGACGUUCCGGGUUGUGACGUACCCAAAGGAGAUACACUUGAAAUCCACUGAUCUGGCAAGGCUUUCAGCACUUGGAGUCAUAAAGUGGAUUGUCGAUCUUCACUCUCAUGGAUGGUCGCUCAAUGGUGAGAUCUCAGUAGAUGAUUUUUUCCUCUCACCUUGGGGUCAUCUCAUGGUGAAGAAUGAUAGGAUGAAGCUUCUAAAAAAGUGCAAAAUCAAGCGGAGAAAGAGAGACAUGGAAGCUAUUGCUUAAGUGAUUCACAACGACAUCUUCAAAGGAUCUGGUGACAUGCCUUAUGACUUUCAGCAUUUGCUCUGGUUGCUGCGACACUACAAGAGAUGUUACGGGAAUCCGGUGCGCAACCACCCAUCGCUGCUGAGUGAGAGUCUUCAAGCCUUUUUCUAGUUGAAAAUCUAUAUACCAUACUUCAACAGGUUUCCAAGCUAGACUCGGCAAAAUACAAUAGGAUUAUUUCCAAGAUUCCAUACUGCAAGAUUGAUCAAGACCACUGGAAGCUGCGGUGUCAAUACAAUCAAUUUCUAAUGAAAAUCCUCGAACCCAAUGGCCCUCUAUCUACUCAAGUUCAGUCAACACCUGCUGCACCUGGUGGCACACAACCUUUUGUAGCCCUUCAGAUUGAUUCAAUUGGUCCUGAUUAUGAGAACAAUGGGGAUGGGUUGCUGAAACUUUUUUGGGACUUGUAUUGGAAUAUUCAUCGUCAUUCUGUUGGAGAAGUCGAGCUGAAGAAGGGGCAAAAGAAGAAGGUGAAGCUCUUUGAGUAUGGUCAGGUGCAGCACAUGUUUAGCGCGGCCUUCCCACAGGUGAUAUGCAGGUUUCAAAAGGCCAUGCAUGCGGAGAAGGAGAUGCCACGCGACAUAUUUCAUGGAUUUGGUCCGUCUUUGGAAGACUUCUGUCUUAAUGCUUAGAGCUGGCUAGUUUUGAGACACAUCGGAAUGCUUGUGCAUCUCUUGGUUACUUGGAGACUAGCAGAACAGGAGGUAUUCAAUCUCAAAUUUAGAUGUGCACUUGAUGGGCGCGUUCCGGAAUUGGGGAUGUUGCUGACCUUUUUGGUUUUGAUGUAUCAGUAUUUGGCUCAUGUAUUUGAGAUUUGCAGAGUCAGGGUCCCUUUGGUUGAGCUUUUGAGGUUGGUUUUGCUUCAAAAAAAGUAGAAAGUCAACCAAAGAGCUUGGGUACCCAAAGCUACUUUUGCAAAGUGUAAUUUC
This is a long non-coding RNA of Setaria italica (foxtail millet), 1787 nucleotides long. RefSeq lists it as uncharacterized. The record is from RefSeq and is a predicted model, not a curated record. NCBI's taxonomy places the organism in Eukaryota, Viridiplantae, Streptophyta, Magnoliopsida, Poales, Poaceae. The transcript has 4 exons.